AUUGAACGCUGGCGGCAGGCCUAACACAUGCAAGUCGAACGAGUGGCGGACGGGUGAGGAAUGUCUGGGAAACUGCCCGAUGGAGGGGGAUAACUACUGGAAACGGUAGCUAAUACCGCAUACCAGAGGAUGUGCCCAGAUGGGAUUCGCUAGUAGGUGGGGUAACGGCUCAACUAGGCGACGAUCCCUAGCUGGUCUGAGAGGAUGACCAGCCCCCCUGGAACUGAGACACGGUCCAGACUCCUACGUGAGGCAGCAUUGGGGAAUAUUGCACAAUGGGCGCAAGCCUGAUGCAGCCAUGCCGCGUGUAUGAAGAAGGCCUUCGGGUUGUAAAGUACUUUCAGCGAGGAGGCGUUACUCGCAGAAGAAGCACCGGCUAACUCCGUGCCAGCAGCCGCGGUAAUUC
RNAcentral lists this ribosomal RNA (406 nucleotides) under uncultured bacterium. Its description in RNAcentral is "partial 16S ribosomal RNA". It matches the Rfam family "Bacterial small subunit ribosomal RNA", at positions 30 to 526 of the family's 1533-position model. The record is from RNAcentral.